CUCUUCUCCCGAACGGCGUUCUCCUAACUUGUCUGGGAGCUGAACGGGCAGCGGUACAGUUUUCCCCGGGGUUCGCCAAAGAGAUUUCCACGCGUUUAACUACCAUGUACAGCUGUCUGCACUCGGGAGACAAAAUGGCCACCAUUCACUAGAGCACAUGUGUUCCGUUAUACGAAUGGCGGCCACCAAGGGAAAGCACUUGAGCUAAUUGCUCUUUUGAAGUUAACAAGCCAG
This is a non-coding RNA of Pelobates cultripes (western spadefoot toad), 234 nucleotides long. NCBI's taxonomy places the organism in Eukaryota, Metazoa, Chordata, Amphibia, Anura, Pelobatidae. The record is from the annotation of a GenBank genome assembly.